UACUCUGAACAACCGAGUUAGAAGUUUCUC
Molecule: non-coding RNA, 30 nt
Filed under: Rattus norvegicus (Norway rat)
Lineage: Eukaryota; Metazoa; Chordata; Mammalia; Rodentia; Muridae
Source: RNAcentral